This 253-nucleotide ribosomal RNA is filed under the name uncultured bacterium. Its description in RNAcentral is "partial 16S ribosomal RNA". It matches the Rfam family "Bacterial small subunit ribosomal RNA", at positions 524 to 776 of the family's 1533-position model. The record is from RNAcentral.
UACGGAGGGUGCAAGCGUUAUCCGGAUUCACUGGGUUUAAAGGGUGCGUAGGUGGGCAGGUAAGUCAGUGGUGAAAUCUCCGGGCUUAACUCGGAAACUGCCAUUGAUACUAUCUGUCUUGAAUACCGUGGAGGUUAGCGGAAUAUGUCAUGUAGCGGUGAAAUGCUUAGAUAUGACAUAGAACACCAAUUGCGAAGGCAGCUGGCUACACAAAUAUUGACGCUGAGGCACGAAAGCGUGGGGAUCAAACAGG